Molecule: ribosomal RNA, 500 nt
Filed under: uncultured bacterium
Lineage: Bacteria
Description: partial 16S ribosomal RNA
Rfam family: Bacterial small subunit ribosomal RNA
Source: RNAcentral
AUUGAACGCUGGCGGCAUGCCUUACACAUGCAAGUCGAACGGCAGCACGGGAGCAAUCCUGGUGGCGAGUGGCGAACGGGUGAGUAAAGUAUCGGAACGUGCCCAGUCGUGGGGGAUAACGUAGCGAAAGUUACGCUAAUACCGCAUACGAUCUAUGGAUGAAAGCGGGGGAUCGCAAGACCUCGCGCGAUUGGAGCGGCCGAUAUCAGAUUAGGUAGUUGGGCGGGUAAAGGCUCACCAAGCCGACGAUCUGUAGCUGGUCUGAGAGGACGACCAGCCACACUGGGACUGGGACACGGCCCAGACUCCUACGGGAGGCAGCAGUGGGGAAUUUUGGACAAUGGGCGAAAGCCUGAUCCAGCCAUGCCGCGUGCAGGAUGAAGGCCUUCGGGUUGUAAACUGCUUUUGUACGGAACGAAAAGGUUUGGGCUAAUAAGCUGAGCUCAUGACGGUACCGUAAGAAUAAGCACCGGCCAACUACGUGCCAGCCGCCGCGGUAA